RNAcentral lists this long non-coding RNA (905 nucleotides) under Salarias fasciatus (jewelled blenny). RNAcentral describes it as "lncRNA (ENSSFAG00005000913.1)". Lineage: Eukaryota; Metazoa; Chordata; Actinopteri; Blenniiformes; Blenniidae. The record is from RNAcentral.
UCUCCACCCUCCAGCAGUCUCUCUCUCUCUCUCUCUCUCUCUCUCUUUCAUUAGGUAACUUCCUCCUCUGCAGUCAGUCCUUCAGAGUCUCAGAGCUUCACCUUCAUUCCAGCAAACAUGAGCAAAUGCUUCAAGUCCGUGAAGUACGCCCUGCUCGUCUUCAACAUGCUGGUUGCUAUCGUUGGAGUUGAGAUGCUGAUCUUCACUGUUCGAGCGACAAAUGGCACCUCGGAGUUGGACAAGUCCUUGUUGAGUCCAGGUCAUCUGAUCCAGUACUGGCUCACCACCAUCGCCAUCUUCGGCCUCGCCGCUCUGGGCACGUACGGCAGCGACAGCGAGAAGAGGACCCCGCUCAUCGUGUUCUGUGUCCUGAUGUGGAUCACCACCGUCAUCCUGGUGAGCUACGGCACCACCGUCAUCCUGACCAUCGACGAGGUCAAAUCUGGAAUCCCUGCAGGCGACCGACAGAGUUUGACCGAGUCCUUCAGCACGGCUUUGGGAAUCUUCUUCGGAACCGGUGCCUUCACGUUUGUGGGGGGGCUGCUGGCCGUGCUCAUGGUGAGGCAGAUCCAGCAGCGCGGCGACGUUGGCAGCUGGAUGCCACUGAAGAAUCCCCCGUCGCUCCUGAUCAAUAAAUGCUAACAGGGGCAACCUCUGCCACACUGUGCCAACAAGAUGCUCACUUCCUGUUUCUGUUACAAAUGUCCAAAUUCUUUGAAAUUUUACUUCAACUAAGACACAUUUACACUUUCAAUAUUUUUCCAUCUGUAUGAAUUUUCUCAUAGAAACUGAAGAAAGACUGCUUCAAAAAAGGACAUGAAGAAAAACAUCUCCAAAGAUACAAUAAAAUGACCCCAAUCAUACAAUCAAAGAAGCUUUUGUGUCAUUUUGUUCACGUUUUUGAU